This 2899-nucleotide ribosomal RNA is filed under the name Neisseria gonorrhoeae. RNAcentral's name for it is "23S ribosomal RNA". It matches the Rfam family "Bacterial large subunit ribosomal RNA". The record is from RNAcentral. Lineage: Bacteria; Pseudomonadati; Pseudomonadota; Betaproteobacteria; Neisseriales; Neisseriaceae.
AUAGGGUCAAGUGAAUAAGUGCAUCAGGCGGAUGCCUUGGCGAUGAUAGGCGACGAAGGACGUGUAAGCCUGCGAAAAGCGCGGGGGAGCUGGCAAUAAAGCUAUGAUUCCGCGAUGUCCGAAUGGGGAAACCCACUGCAUUCUGUGCAGUAUCCUAAGUUGAAUACAUAGGCUUAGAGAAGCGAACCCGGAGAACUGAACCAUCUAAGUACCCGGAGGAAAAGAAAUCAACCGAGAUUCCGCAAGUAGUGGCGAGCGAACGCGGAGGAGCCUGUACGUAAUAACUGUCGAGAUAGAAGAACAAGCUGGGAAGCUUGACCAUAGCGGGCGACAGUCCCGUAUUCGAAAUCUCAACAGCGGUACUAAGCGUACGAAAAGUAGGGCGGGACACGUGAAAUCCUGUCUGAAUAUGGGGGGACCAUCCUCCAAGGCUAAAUACUCAUCAUCGACCGAUAGUGAACCAGUACCGUGAGGGAAAGGCGAAAAGAACCCCGGGAGGGGAGUGAAACAGAACCUGAAACCUGAUGCAUACAAACAGUGGGAGCGCCCUAGUGGUGUGACUGCGUACCUUUUGUAUAAUGGGUCAACGACUUACAUUCAGUAGCGAGCUUAACCGGAUAGGGGAGGCGUAGGGAAACCGAGUCUUAAUAGGGCGAUGAGUUGCUGGGUGUAGACCCGAAACCGAGUGAUCUAUCCAUGGUCAGGUUGAAGGUGCCGUAACAGGUACUGGAGGACCGAACCCACGCAUGUUGCAAAAUGCGGGGAUGAGCUGUGGGUAGGGGUGAAAGGCUAAACAAACUCGGAGAUAGCUGGUUCUCCCCGAAAACUAUUUAGGUAGUGCCUCGAGCAAGACACUGAUGGGGGUAAAGCACUGUUAUGGCUAGGGGGUUAUUGCAACUUACCAACCCAUGGCAAACUCAGAAUACCAUCAAGUGGUUCCUCGGGAGACAGACAGCGGGUGCUAACGUCCGUUGUCAAGAGGGAAACAACCCAGACCGCCAGCUAAGGUCCCAAAUGAUAGAUUAAGUGGUAAACGAAGUGGGAAGGCACAGACAGCCAGGAUGUUGGCUUAGAAGCAGCCAUCAUUUAAAGAAAGCGUAAUAGCUCACUGGUCGAGUCGUCCUGCGCGGAAGAUGUAACGGGGCUCAAAUCUAUAACCGAAGCUGCGGAUGCCGGUUUACCGGCAUGGUAGGGGAGCGUUCUGUAGGCUGAUGAAGGUGCAUUGUAAAGUGUGCUGGAGGUAUCAGAAGUGCGAAUGUUGACAUGAGUAGCGAUAAAGCGGGUGAAAAGCCCGCUCGCCGAAAAGCCCAAGGUUUCCUACGCAACGUUCAUCGGCGUAGGGUAAGUCGGCACCUAAGGCGAGGCAGAAAUGCGUAGUCGAUGGGAAACAGGUUAAUAUUCCUGUACUUGAUUCAAAUGCGAUGUGGGGACGGAGAAGGUUAGGUUGGCAAGCUGUUGGAAUAGCUUGUUUAAGCCGGUAGGUGGAAGACUUAGGCAAAUCCGGGUUUUCUUAACACCGAGAAGUGAUGACGAGUGUCUACGGACACGAAGCAACCGAUACCACGCUUCCAGGAAAAGCCACUAAGCUUCAGUUUGAAUCGAACCGUACCGCAAACCGACACAGGUGGGCAGGAUGAGAAUUCUAAGGCGCUUGAGAGAACUCGGGAGAAGGAACUCGGCAAAUUGAUACCGUAACUUCGGGAGAAGGUAUGCCCUCUAAGGUUAAGGACUUGCUCCGUAAGCCCCGGAGGGUCGCAGAGAAUAGGUGGCUGCGACUGUUUAUUAAAAACACAGCACUCUGCCAACACGAAAGUGGACGUAUAGGGUGUGACGCCUGCCCGGUGCCGGAAGGUUAAUUGAAGAUGUGCAAGCAUCGGAUCGAAGCCCCGGUAAACGGCGGCCGUAACUAUAACGGUCCUAAGGUAGCGAAAUUCCUUGUCGGGUAAGUUCCGACCCGCACGAAUGGCGUAACGAUGGCCACACUGUCUCCUCCCGAGACUCAGCGAAGUUGAAGUGGUUGUGAAGAUGCAAUCUACCCGCUGCUAGACGGAAAGACCCCGUGAACCUUUACUGUAGCUUUGCAUUGGACUUUGAAGUCACUUGUGUAGGAUAGGUGGGAGGCUUGGAAGCAGAGACGCCAGUCUCUGUGGAGUCGUCCUUGAAAUACCACCCUGGUGUCUUUGAGGUUCUAACCCAGACCCGUCAUCCGGGUCGGGGACCGUGCAUGGUAGGCAGUUUGACUGGGGCGGUCUCCUCCCAAAGCGUAACGGAGGAGUUCGAAGGUUACCUAGGUCCGGUCGGAAAUCGGACUGAUAGUGCAAUGGCAAAAGGUAGCUUAACUGCGAGACCGACAAGUCGGGCAGGUGCGAAAGCAGGACAUAGUGAUCCGGUGGUUCUGUAUGGAAGGGCCAUCGCUCAACGGAUAAAAGGUACUCCGGGGAUAACAGGCUGAUUCCGCCCAAGAGUUCAUAUCGACGGCGGAGUUUGGCACCUCGAUGUCGGCUCAUCACAUCCUGGGGCUGUAGUCGGUCCCAAGGGUAUGGCUGUUCGCCAUUUAAAGUGGUACGUGAGCUGGGUUUAAAACGUCGUGAGACAGUUUGGUCCCUAUCUGCAGUGGGCGUUGGAAGUUUGACGGGGGCUGCUCCUAGUACGAGAGGACCGGAGUGGACGAACCUCUGGUGUACCGGUUGUAACGCCAGUUGCAUAGCCGGGUAGCUAAGUUCGGAAGAGAUAAGCGCUGAAAGCAUCUAAGCGCGAAACUCGCCUGAAGAUGAGACUUCCCUUGCGGUUUAACCGCACUAAAGGGUCGUUCGAGACCAGGACGUUGAUAGGUGGGGUGUGGAAGCGCGGUAACGCGUGAAGCUAACCCAUACUAAUUGCCCGUGAGGCUUGACUCUAU